This 373-nucleotide unclassified non-coding RNA is filed under the name soil metagenome. RNAcentral's name for it is "partial contains 5.8S ribosomal RNA, internal transcribed spacer 2, and large subunit ribosomal RNA". The stretch from base 3 to 121 matches the Rfam family "5.8S ribosomal RNA", at positions 37 to 154 of the family's 154-position model. The record is from RNAcentral.
GGUGAAGAACGUAGCGAAAUGCGAUAAGUAAUGCGAAUUGCAGAAUUCCAGUGAGUCAUCGAAUCUUUGAACGCACAUUGCGCCCUUUGGUAUUCCGAAGGGCAUGCCUGUUCGAGCGUCAUUAUCACCCCUCAAGCCCUCGGCUUGGUGUUGGACGGUUUGGUGGAGGCCCCCUCGGGGGCUCCUGCCCCUCCCAAAGACAAUGACGGCGGCCUCGUUGGACCCCCGGUACACUGAGUUCUUCACGGGCCACGUAUCGGACACAUGGGUUUACGGGACACGGUCUGCCUCCCCUCAGGGAGAAUCUUUCUAAGGUUGACCUCGGAUCAGGUAGGGAUACCCGCUGAACUUAAGCAUAUCAAUAAGCGGAGGA